GAUUCGUGGACGAGGAAAGAAAAUGGAGAUUUCUUGAGCAGCUUCUAUGGCUACAUCCCAUGUCAAGCAGCCUGAUCUAUGCUCUUGGGUUCUGGCCUCAUGACAACCUUCUAUUUUGGAAUCUGACGCUUGGAAAACGUAAGCAGCUCAGUCAGGUUCAAGGCCAGAUCAUCAGACAGAAGAAUUCAGUAGUAAGCACACACAUCCUAGCCCUUCCCUCCCUCCUCAACUGUGAGGCCCCUCGAGCACAGAAACAUGCCUGCUGUUUCUCCCAGUUCGUGGAGGAGUUCCUGACACGUGCCAGGCACUGAGUAACCUUGCCGUGCGAAGCAGAAAGACAAAAUGCUGGUGACUUCAGGAGAGCAGCUUGAAUGGAGCUAUAGAAUUCCAGGAGCCGAAACCAGGUGUUGAUUCUCCACGACAGGUCUGUAGCUGCUGCUAGAGAAGUUUAUGACUGUGGGCCUUUGUUCCAAACCCAAGAGCCACUAUACAUCUCAGUUCAAUUACUUUGAUUUGUCUCUGGGGAAAAAGCAGAGUCAACAUGGAGGCUCAUGUAUUCUGUGCAAACGUUGAAUCUUCCACAUGCUAUUUCAUAGCGCGGAUGCUCGUUUUCUAAGCUCAGGUUUCGACUUUGCAAUAUGAAAUAUUUGGGAGAUAUUUUGUUCCAUUUGAUCCUACAGAUCUGUGCUUGUAUCUGUAAGGAUUCCAGAGGUGACAAGAAUAUUCUCAAGCUUUCUAUAGGGUCUACCGUAAAAUAAAAUGCAAUGUCUUUAUCUCA
Lemur catta (Ring-tailed lemur) is the source of this 778-nucleotide long non-coding RNA. RefSeq lists it as uncharacterized. NCBI's taxonomy places the organism in Eukaryota, Metazoa, Chordata, Mammalia, Primates, Lemuridae. The record is from RefSeq and is a predicted model, not a curated record. The transcript is spliced from 3 exons.